AGGGCACCACCAGGAGUGGAGCUUGCGGCUUAAUUUGACUCAACACGGGAAAACUCACCCGGCCCGGACACUGGAAGGAUUGACAGAUUGAGAGCUCUUUCUUGAUUCAGUGGGUGGUGGUGCAUGGCCGUUCUUAGUUGGUGGAGUGAUUUGUCUGGUUAAUUCCGAUAACGAACGAGACUCUAGCCUACUAAAUAGAUCGUCGGCUUACAAACGCCGGCGAGACUUCUUAGAGGGACAGGCGGUGAUUCAACCGCACGAAACAGAGCAAUAACAGGUCUGUGAUGCCCUUAGAUGUCCGGGGCCGCACGCGCGCUACACUGAAGUGAUCAGCGUGCUUUUUCAACCUACUCUGUCAAGAGUGGGGAACCCAAUGAACCUUCUUCGUGAUUGGGAUAGGGGAUUGUAAUUAUUCCCCUUGAACGAGGAAUUCCCAGUAAGCGCGAGUCAUUAGCUUGCGUUGAUUACGUCCCUGCCCUUUGUACACACCGCCCGUCGCUACUACCGAUUGAAUGAUAG
This 519-nucleotide ribosomal RNA is filed under the name uncultured eukaryote. Its description in RNAcentral is "SSU rRNA". It matches the Rfam family "Eukaryotic small subunit ribosomal RNA", at positions 1161 to 1699 of the family's 1831-position model. The record is from RNAcentral.